AGCUUUGCGCAGUGGCAUUAUCGUAACCAAUGAGGUUUAUCCGAGGUGGGACUAUUGCUAGCUAAAAACUAAAAUGGAAAUGAACACUCCAAUGAUAAAAUUAAAAAAAUACGGGUCUCAUAUUUUGUGAUAAGGAACAAUACU
Small nuclear RNA from Toxorhynchites rutilus septentrionalis, 144 nucleotides. RefSeq annotates it as U4 spliceosomal RNA. The record is from RefSeq and is a predicted model, not a curated record. NCBI's taxonomy places the organism in Eukaryota, Metazoa, Arthropoda, Insecta, Diptera, Culicidae. The transcript has a single exon.